RNAcentral lists this ribosomal RNA (788 nucleotides) under uncultured bacterium. Its description in RNAcentral is "bacterial SSU rRNA". It matches the Rfam family "Bacterial small subunit ribosomal RNA", at positions 59 to 841 of the family's 1533-position model. The record is from RNAcentral.
CAGUCGAACGGAGAUAUUCGCUGAUGAAGUACUUCGGUAAUGAAUCUUGGAUAUCUUAGUGGCGGACGGGUGAGUAACGCGUGAGCAACCUGCCUUUCAGAGGGGGAUAACGUUUGGAAACGAACGCUAAUACCGCAUGACAUUAUCUUAUCGCAUGGUAGGAUAAUCAAAGGAGCAAUCCGCUGAAAGAUGGGCUCGCGUCCGAUUAGGUAGUUGGUGGGGUAACGGCCCACCAAGCCGACGAUCGGUAGCCGGACUGAGAGGUUGGACGGCCACAUUGGGACUGAGACACGGCCCAGACUCCUACGGGAGGCAGCAGUAAGGGAUAUUGGUCAAUGGGGGAAACCCUGAACCAGCAACGCCGCGUGAGGGAAGACGGUUUUCGGAUUGUAAACCUCUGUCCUCUGUGAAGAUGAUGACGGUAGCAGAGGAGGAAGCUCCGGCUAACUACGUGCCAGCAGCCGCGGUAAUACGUAGGGAGCGAGCGUUGUCCGGAUUUACUGGGUGUAAAGGGUGCGUAGGCGGCUUGGCAAGUCAGUAGUGAAAUCCAUGGGCUUAACCCAUGAACUGCUAUUGAAACUGUCGAGCUUGAGUGAAGUAGAGGUAGGCGGAAUUCCCGGUGUAGCGGUGAAAUGCGUAGAGAUCGGGAGGAACACCAGUGGCGAAGGCGGCCUACUGGGCUUUAACUGACGCUGAGGCACGAAAGCGUGGGUAGCAAACAGGAUUAGAUACCCUGGUAGUCCACGCUGUAAACGAUGAUUACUAGGUGUGGGUGGACUGACCCCAUC